This 204-nucleotide ribosomal RNA is filed under the name uncultured bacterium. Its description in RNAcentral is "partial 16S ribosomal RNA". It matches the Rfam family "Bacterial small subunit ribosomal RNA", at positions 1299 to 1500 of the family's 1533-position model. The record is from RNAcentral.
CGCAGGCUGCAACCCGCCUGCGUGAAGUUGGAAUCGCUAGUAAUCGCGGAUCAGCAUGCCGCGGUGAAUACGUUCCCGGGCCUUGUACACACCGCCCGUCACACCAUGAGAGUCGGGAACACCCGAAGUCCGUAGCCUAACUUUAACGAGGGGGCGCGGCCGAAGGUGGGUUCGAUAAUUGGGGUGAAGUCGUAACAAGGUAAC